Molecule: long non-coding RNA, 2832 nt
Filed under: Olea europaea subsp. europaea
Lineage: Eukaryota; Viridiplantae; Streptophyta; Magnoliopsida; Lamiales; Oleaceae
Source: RNAcentral
CUUAACUGGCACAAAAAAUUACACUUCUGUAUGGAAAGAUAUGAUUAUAUGCUCUGUAGUUAUGUACAAUGAUAAGUUCAGUCAACAUAAUCCCUAACUCAGAAAGAGGAAACUCAAAAAAGAUCGAUGAAAAGAAGCUAACUCAUACUGCAUUUACCAAAAAGGUCAAAACAAUAAAGAGAUAUCGCACCUAGGGUUGACAUACAGGGAGUGAAAAUUGUGGGUCUUUGUCUUUAUCUUUACAGAAGGAGCAGUGCCUUUUGCCAUGAUCUCUAUCCUAGAAGUAUUGUUGGCAUGAGCAAAAAGAGAGCCUGAAAAGUAUGAGAUCUAUAAGAAAUAGCCCGGUGACAAGAAUCCAUGCCAAUGACGAGGUUUCAAUUCAAAAAAAGCAUUAAAAGACCUUCGGGUGGCUUGUAAAUCAAGCUUGAGAAGAAUGUCCAUACCAAAACAAAAGAAUUCGCUUAGGCGUCUACUUUCUAUUGGCCAGAGUCAUUGCCAAUAGUUUGCCUCCAUAUACCCAGUCAACGGGUGCACCAUCCCAGCUGUACUGCCAAUCCCAGCAACUCUCUGAGGUAAAACUGGAAGACGGCCCCCCAUUGGAAUUACACAAUGCUCUUCCUCUUCAAUGCUUCUAAUAUUUAUACCUAAGUGACUCAGCCGAGCUACCAUUCAUUCCUUAGUGUCAUCCACAGGAACUCCAGGACGAGCUACAAGGGAUGUUUCUUCAAGGAAUAUUCUUUUCGAUGAAAAUAGCGUUGCACAGAGAAAAGUUGGAAUCUUGCUAUUUCUCUCCUUCAGCUCUUUAUUAUUGUUGAGAUGUGAGUCAUUCCAAUCCAUGAAAACCAUUUUAUUUACAUCAACAGGGUGUUCUUCCACUUCUGCUCAAAUCCUGUAAGCUAUACAAGGCUUAUCAUACUGUGCAAGACAUCUGGAAAAUCCGGUCGCAUCAAGAACCACAGCAGCAGCCUGAAUGGUAACACCAUCAUCGCAAAUCAACAAAGAUUUUGAUUCCUAGUGAGUUACUUUCACAAUCUUAGCUUGAUGAAAUUUGACGCCAUUCAAAAUGAAUUUCUACAUCAUUUUCGAUUUCAGCUGGUUCCUGUUAGCCUCCCACGAGGUCUAUCAAGAUCUUUAGUUGUCUUGUCGUCAAUGAAAACCAUAGCACCCGACCAGGAGGCGUCAAGACAAUCCAACAAAUCCGUGCCCUCAAAUUCAUCAACCCAAACAACGUAAUUAUUGGGGCCAUAUCAAUUUGGGUAAAGGAUCAAUCGAGCAAACUCAUAGCCCAGCUUCUGAAACAUGCUGUGCGACCGCUAGUCCUGCAGGGCCACCACCUACAACAGCUAGAUCCACCACAAGGCCCUUAGAAGGAUCAUACAUGGGAAUCUCAAAUUCAAAAUUUUCCUGGUUUCAGGCACAAGUUCCAAAAGGGUACUAGAACUGGCGUUAACACAAACACUUUUCCCCAAUUUUAUAUGUUCUCUUUUCGAAUCAAACCUAACGUCCUGAUUCUGAGGCUUCAAGGAACCAAAGGCGCUAACUUUAUUUGCAAACCCUUGACGUGGGUGCAAAAAUUUUAGCUUAUUAUGAGUUUUAAAAAAAUAAUAAUAAUAAAUAAAUUUCAAAUGGGUCGCUUAACUCUCGAAAAUGACAAUCAAAAUUCCACGAAUUUCUUGGAUUCUCAAAGCAGAGCUAUCAACUCAUUGCAAUAAUUGAUGAACAAAUUCUGCAUAUACAAGAUUUAAGGCAAUAAAUAAUGGUACAAAAGAACUGGAGAAAAUAAAAAUCUCAUAAAAAAUAUUCAAUAAAUCCCCUGUCAACCAGUUGUGGAAUGUGACCAGAACUGCAUCUUUGGCAUGAGUAGAAUAGUUUUGAAAAAUAGGCGUUGCACCAUCCAACUUAGCUGUAUUUAACAUUGAUUUUCCUUCAUCAGCGACGAACAGAAACCGGAGUAUCUUAGCUGGUUUAGGUCCCCUUUUCCCUGGGAGUCCCGAGAGUUCCACGGUUUUAUCUUCUUCUUCCUCUACCGAAGAGAUCCCAGCAUCAUAACGUCUAAACAACGCUAAGCUCCCAUUGAUGGCCAUUAUAUAAAUAAAAUAAUAAUAAUAAAAAAUUAAAUAGUAAAAUUUUGAAAAAUAUGCGGUUGAAAAAUAGAAAAGUCUUGAAUUUACUUGCAUUAUGUUUUAACGGGUAAAUGUGUAAAUGAAAACGACUAUUAAAAAAAAAAAAAUUAAAAAAAAGGCCCAUCAAAUAUGGUUUAAACCUCAUUUGAGGCCCCUUUUUGGGUUUUGGCCUAAUGAUUUUUGAGAAAAUUGUAGCAGCGGUCCCUAACCUUUUAUUUUUUGCAAACCUUACUCUAAUUUUUAAUUUAUGCCAAUCACAGUCCCAAAUUUUUCAAAAAUAUGCAUUUGAAAUCCAAAUGGAUGGAAACCGUUCAUCUGAUCGUUAGUUGACCAAUAAAAUUGAAUUUUUACCAAUUUAAAAGGAUAAAAAGACAACUUUGCUAUUUAACCCUAUAAAACAAUCAAAAUAAAUAAUUAAAACAAAAUAAAAAUAAAAGAAAAAAACUAUUCACCUCCAACCCCAUCCCAUUGCUGAAUCCACCGAAACAAGACCUUUUCCUCCGUCGAACACCGCUAUCCAUAGGGUUGAGAUCCGAAGAGCGCAAUUUCUCCUUCAAAAUACUCUCCGUCAUGGAAAACAGUGACAUCUCGUCCACCACCAUCUCCACUUUUUCCUGCUCCAACCUCGAUCGACCUUCCCUCCAGCAUCAUCACCCACUCACACUAACUGCAAGAAAAAGAAGAGAAAAUAAAAGAGGAACGAUUUCGG